Molecule: ribosomal RNA, 466 nt
Filed under: uncultured ammonia-oxidizing beta proteobacterium
Lineage: Bacteria; Pseudomonadati; Pseudomonadota; Betaproteobacteria
Description: bacterial SSU rRNA
Rfam family: Bacterial small subunit ribosomal RNA
Source: RNAcentral
GGAGGAAAGCAGGGGAUCGCAAGACCUUACGCUUUUGGAGCGGCCGAUGUCUGAUUAGCUUGUUGGUGAGGUAAAGGCUUACCAAGGCUUCGAUCAGUAGCUGGUCUGAGAGGACGACCAGCCACACUGGGACUGAGACACGGCCCAGACUCCUACGGGAGGCAGCAGUGGGGAAUUUUGGACAAUGGGGGAAACCCUGAUCCAGCCAUGCCGCGUGAGUGAAGAAGGCCUUCGGGUUGUAAAGCUCUUUCAGCCGGAACGAAACGGUUACGAUUAAUACUUGUAACUACCGACGGUACCGGAAGAAGAAGCACCGGCUAACUACGUGCCAGCAGCCGCGGUAAUACGUAGGGUGCGAGCGUUAAUCGGAAUUACUGGGCGUAAAGCGUGCGCAGGUGGUUUUGUAAGUCAGAUGUGAAAUCCCCGGGCUUAACCUGGGAACUGCGUUUGAAACUACAAGGCUAGA